Molecule: ribosomal RNA, 253 nt
Filed under: uncultured bacterium
Lineage: Bacteria
Description: partial 16S ribosomal RNA
Rfam family: Bacterial small subunit ribosomal RNA
Source: RNAcentral
UACGUAGGGUGCAAGCGUUAUCCGGAUUCACUGGGUUUAAAGGGUGCGUAGGCGGACAGGUAAGUCAGUGGUGAAAUCUCCGAGCUUAACUCGGAAACUGCCUUUGAUACUCUCUGUCUUGAAUAUGGUGGAGGUAAGCGGAAUAUGUCAUGUAGCGGUGAAAUGCUUAGAGAUGACAUAGAACACCUAUUGCGAAGGCAGCUUACUACGCCUAUAUUGACGCUGAGGCACGAAAGCGUGGGGAGCAAACAGG